RNAcentral lists this small nucleolar RNA (73 nucleotides) under Anthonomus grandis grandis. Lineage: Eukaryota; Metazoa; Arthropoda; Insecta; Coleoptera; Curculionidae. The record is from RNAcentral.
AUAAAUAAUGAUGACUAUUAUUACCGCCCCAGUCUGAUUAACUGGUGACUGAUUGGUUUGUUUCUGACCUUAA